GAUGAACGCUGGCGGCGUGCCUAAUACAUGCAAGUCGAGCGAACAGACGAGGAGCUUGCUCCUUCGACGUUAGCGGCGGACGGGUGAGUAACACGUAGGUAACCUACCUAUAAGACUGGGAUAACUUCGGGAAACCGGAGCUAAUACCGGAUAAUAUUUCGAACCGCAUGGUUCGAUAGUGAAAGAUGGCUUUGCUAUCACGUAUAGAUGGACCUGCGCCGUAUUAGCUAGUUGGUAAGGUAACGGCUUACCAAGGCAACGAUACGUAGCCGACCUGAGAGGGUGAUCGGCCACACUGGAACUGAGACACGGUCCAGACUCCUACGGGAGGCAGCAGUAGGGAAUCUUACGCAAUGGGCGAAAGCAUGACGGAGCAACGCCGCGUGAGUGAUGAAGGUCUUCGGAUCGUAAAACUCUGUUAUUAGGGAAGAACAAACGUGUAAGUAAAUGUGCACGUCUUGACGGUACCUAAUCAGAAAGCCACGGCUAACUACGUG
Molecule: ribosomal RNA, 497 nt
Filed under: uncultured bacterium
Lineage: Bacteria
Description: partial 16S ribosomal RNA
Rfam family: Bacterial small subunit ribosomal RNA
Source: RNAcentral